This 127-nucleotide ribosomal RNA is filed under the name Citrobacter koseri. RNAcentral describes it as "partial 23S ribosomal RNA". It matches the Rfam family "Bacterial large subunit ribosomal RNA", at positions 2808 to 2925 of the family's 2925-position model. Lineage: Bacteria; Pseudomonadati; Pseudomonadota; Gammaproteobacteria; Enterobacterales; Enterobacteriaceae. The record is from RNAcentral. RNAcentral also lists the same sequence under 7 other names.
UGACUCCUUGAGAGUCCUGAAGGAACGUUGAAGACGACGACGUUGAUAGGCCGGGUGUGUAAGCGCAGCGAUGCGUUGAGCUAACCGGUACUAAUGAACCGUGAGGCUUAACCUUACAACGCCGAAG